Octodon degus (degu) is the source of this 745-nucleotide long non-coding RNA. RefSeq lists it as uncharacterized. The record is from RefSeq and is a predicted model, not a curated record. Lineage: Eukaryota; Metazoa; Chordata; Mammalia; Rodentia; Octodontidae. The transcript has 3 exons.
AGCGACCCGAGGGACUGGCGGCCCGGCGGGCGGUCCCUCCCGCCCAGCGGCUCGGGGCUGUCACUCGAGUUCUCGAGCGCGGGGCGGUCGCCAUCGCUGCCUUUUCUAACCCUUUGCAGGUCGGAGCGAGGGAAAGCUGAUCCCCAGACCUCCGGGCCAAACGCAGCUGCGAGACUCGGGUCUCAAAUUCGCCGGCUCGGACCACACAUUCCAGGACAACUUAGUCUUGCUAACCUGGUAGGGCCAGUGUUGAGAAGCACGGUACUACCCGGCCUCCAGGCUUUUCCAUCUGAUCGCUGAUGUCCUGGAUGAUUUGGAGAAGCUUCCACGUAACACCUGCCGUGUGCCCCCGGAAGUCCGUGUGUGGGAAUCGUUUUGUGCAAAGUGGCAGUGUCGGAAGUGUGAGGAAUCGAACUCUGGCACCUGGUACACUGGGCAUGUGCUGUACACGGAGCUACACAGUCAGCCCAAACCAUACGGUUAUGCAAACCUCUGAAGCAAGAAUUAUUCUCAUCUCCACUGUACACAUGAGGAAACUGAGGUCCACAGAGAUUAAGUGACUCUCCGAAGAAUAUCAUAGCCCAAAGUUCAUGUUUAUAAAAGGACUGUCUCCUAUAGCUAGUUCUUCCUUAAAGUAGUAGGAGGGUUUUUUUUGUUUGUUUGUUUGUUUUGUUUUUUAUUUUUUACGGGGGGUGGUUGUUCUGUUGAGAGAGGGUUUUGCUGUGUUGUCCAGGCUGAGCUCGAG